GACGAACGCUGGCGGCGUGCUUAACACAUGCAAGUCGAACGGAAAGGCCCUGCUUUUGUGGGGUGCUCGAGUGGCGAACGGGUGAGUAACACGUGAGUAACCUGCCCUUGACUUUGGGAUAACUUCAGGAAACUGGGGCUAAUACCGGAUAGGAGCUCCUGCUGCAUGGUGGGGGUUGGAAAGUUUCGGCGGUUGGGGAUGGACUCGCGGCUUAUCAGCUUGUUGGUGGGGUAGUGGCUUACCAAGGCUUUGACGGGUAGCCGGCCUGAGAGGGUGACCGGCCACAUUGGGACUGAGAUACGGACCAGAAUACUACGGGAGGCAGCAGUGGGGAAUAUUGCACAAUGGGGGGAAGCAUGAUGCAGAAACGCCGCGUGCGGGAUGCCGGCCUUCGGGUUGUGAACAGCUUUCGCAUGUGACGAAGCGUGAGUGACGGUAAUGAGUAAAGAAGCCCCGGCUAACUACGUG
Molecule: ribosomal RNA, 468 nt
Filed under: uncultured bacterium
Lineage: Bacteria
Description: partial 16S ribosomal RNA
Rfam family: Bacterial small subunit ribosomal RNA
Source: RNAcentral